This 1530-nucleotide ribosomal RNA is filed under the name metagenome. Its description in RNAcentral is "bacterial LSU rRNA". It matches the Rfam family "Bacterial large subunit ribosomal RNA", at positions 824 to 2332 of the family's 2925-position model. The record is from RNAcentral.
AAAGGCUAAUCAAGCUCAGAGAUAUCUGGUUCUCUCCGAAAUAUAUUUAGGUAUAGCCUCGGAUAAAUUCCGUUGCGGCCGUAGAGCACUGUUUGGUCUAGGGGCCCUACCAGGUUACCGAAAUCAGGCAAACUCCGAAGACCGUCACGGUUACUCCGGGAGUCAGUUGCUGGGGGAUAAACUUCAGCGUCAAGAGGGAAACAGCCCAGACCGACAGCUAAGGUCCCUAAGUUCUAGCUAAGUGGCAAACGAUGUCCGAGUGCAUAGACAACCAGGAGGUUGGCUUAGAGGCAGCCAUCCUUGAAAGAGUGCGUAACAGCUCACUGGUCAAGUGUUCGGGCGCGGAUAAUGUAACGGGGCUCAAGCUAGACACCGAAGCUUCGGGUUCAAUCUUUUGAUUGAGCGGUAGGAGAGCGUUCCCAUGGCAGUGAAGCGGCGGGGGAACCCAGCCGUGGAGCCAUGGGAAGUGAGAAUGCCGGCAUGAGUAACGAAAGAGGGGUGAGAAUCCCCUCCGCCGAUUGCCCAAGGAUUCCUGAGUAAAGUUCGUCUGCUCAGGGUUAGUCGGGACCUAAGGCGAGGCCGAAAGGCGUAGUCGAUGGACAACAGGUUGAUAUUCCUGUACCACGUCGCACUCAUUUGACUGAUGGGGGGACGGGGAAGGCUAGGGGAACCCAGGCGAUGGUAGUCCUGGGUCAAGCAUGUAGGGGUGGCCGAUGAUAAAUGCGCGGCUGCAUAACCUGAGGUGCGAUGACAGCUGGCUUAAAGCCGGCGAGUCCCUGACGCCAUGCCUCCGAGAAAAGCCUCUAGGGAGAGCGCGCGUGCCCGUACCAAAACCGACACAGGUGGGCAAGUAGAGAAUACUAAGGUGAUCGAGAUAACCAUCGUUAAGGAACUCGGCAAAAUCGCUCCGUAACUUCGGGAUAAGGAGCGCCCUAGUAGGGUGAAGCGCUUUUCGCGUGGAGUCUGAGGGGGCCGCAGUGAAUAGGUUCAACCGACUGUUUACCAAAAACACAGGGCUCUGCUAAGUCGUAAGACGACGUAUAGGGUCUGACGCCUGCCCGGUGCCGGAAGGUUACGUGGAGGUGUUAGCUGCAAGGCGAAGCACUGAAACUAAGCCCCGGUAAACGGCGGCGGUAACAAUAACCGUCCUAAGGUAGCGAAAUUCCUUGUCGGGUAAGUUCCGACCUGCACGAAUGGCGUAACGAGUUGAACGCUGUCUCAACGAUGGGCUCGGUGAAAUUGCAGUCUCGGUGAAGAUGCCGAGUACCCGUGGCUAGACGGAAAGACCCCGUGCACCUUUACUAUAACCUGGUAUUGGAGUGCGGUGCAUCUCGCUCAGGAUAGGAGGUAGUCUUUGAAGCAUCGGCUGCGGCUGGUGUGGAGACACACUUGAGAUACCUCCCUUGAUGUAUUGUGCUUCUAACACUGCGCCCUUAUCGGGGCAGUGAACAGUGCCAGGCGGGUAGUUUGACUGGGGCGGUCGCCUCCCAAAAUGUAACGGAGGCGCGCAAAGGUUCCCUCAGUACGGUC